This 460-nucleotide ribosomal RNA is filed under the name uncultured bacterium. RNAcentral describes it as "partial 16S ribosomal RNA". It matches the Rfam family "Bacterial small subunit ribosomal RNA", at positions 338 to 795 of the family's 1533-position model. The record is from RNAcentral.
CCUACGGGUGGCAGCAGUGAGGAAUAUUGGUCAAUGGGCUUACGCCUGAACCAGCCAAGUCGCGUGAGGGAAGACUGCCCUAUGGGUUGUAAACCUCUUUUGUCAGGGAGCAACGCCGGCUACGUGUAGCCGGACUGAGAGUACCUGAAGAAAAAGCAUCGGCUAACUCCGUGCCAGCAGCCGCGGUAAUACGGAGGAUGCGAGCGUUAUACGGAUUUAUUGGGUUGAAAGGGUGCGUAGGCGGAAUGCCAAGUCAGCGGUAAAAUCGCGGGGCUCAACCGCGCUCCGACGUUGAAACUGGCGUGCUUGAGUGGGCGAGAGGUAGGCGGAAUGCGUGGUGUAGCGGUGAAAGGCAUAGAUAUCACGAAGAACUCCGAUUGCGAAGGCAGCAUACCGGCGCCCAACUGACGCUGAGGCACGAAAGCGUGGGUAUCGAACAGGAUUAGAUACCCCAGUAGUC